RNAcentral lists this ribosomal RNA (681 nucleotides) under Bacillus subtilis. RNAcentral describes it as "bacterial SSU rRNA". It matches the Rfam family "Bacterial small subunit ribosomal RNA", at positions 36 to 696 of the family's 1533-position model. The record is from RNAcentral. Lineage: Bacteria; Bacillati; Bacillota; Bacilli; Caryophanales; Bacillaceae.
AUGGGGGGGGGUCUAUACAUGCAAGUCGAGCGAAUGGAUUAAGAGCUUGCUCUUAUGAAGUUAGCGGCGGACGGGUGAGUAACACGUGGGUAACCUGCCCAUAAGACUGGGAUAACUCCGGGAAACCGGGGCUAAUACCGGAUAACAUUUUGAACCGCAGGGUUCGAAAUUGAAAGGCGGCUUCGGCUGUCACUUAUGGAUGGACCCGCGUCGCAUUAGCUAGUUGGUGAGGUAACGGCUCACCAAGGCAACGAUGCGUAGCCGACCUGAGAGGGUGAUCGGCCACACUGGGACUGAGACACGGCCCAGACUCCUACGGGAGGCAGCAGUAGGGAAUCUUCCGCAAUGGACGAAAGUCUGACGGAGCAACGCCGCGUGAGUGAUGAAGGCUUUCGGGUCGUAAAACUCUGUUGUUAGGGAAGAACAAGUGCUAGUUGAAUAAGCUGGCACCUUGACGGUACCUAACCAGAAAGCCACGGCUAACUACGUGCCAGCAGCCGCGGUAAUACGUAGGUGGCAAGCGUUAUCCGGAAUUAUUGGGCGUAAAGCGCGCGCAGGUGGUUUCUUAAGUCUGAUGUGAAAGCCCACGGCUCAACCGUGGAGGGUCAUUGGAAACUGGGAGACUUGAGUGCAGAAGAGGAAAGUGGAAUUCCAUGUGUAGCGUAAAUUUGGCCGUUGGAG